GGUUAAGCGACUAAGCGUACACGGUGGAUGCCCUGGCAGUCAGAGGCGAUGAAGGGCGUGCUAAUCUGCGAUAAGCGCCGGUAAGGUGAUAUGAACCGUUAUAACCGGCGAUACCCGAAUGGGGAAACCCAGUGUGACUCGUCACACUAUCAUUAACUGAAUCCAUAGGUUAAUGAGGCGAACCGGGGGAACUGAAACAUCUAAGUACCCCGAGGAAAAGAAAUCAACCGAGAUUCCCCCAGUAGCGGCGAGCGAACGGGGAGGAGCCCAGAGCCUGAAUCAGCAUGUGUGUUAGUGGAAGCGUCUGGAAAGGCGCGCGAUACAGGGUGACAGCCCCGUACACAAAAGCGCAUGUGCUGUGAGCUCGAUGAGUAGGGCGGGACACGUGGUAUCCUGUCUGAAUAUGGGGGGACCAUCCUCCAAGGCUAAAUACUCCUGACUGACCGAUAGUGAACCAGUACCGUGAGGGAAAGGCGAAAAGAACCCCGGCGAGGGGAGUGAAAAAGAACCUGAAACCGUGUACGUACAAGCAGUGGGAGCACAGGUUUACCUGUGUGACUGCGUACCUUUUGUAUAAUGGGUCAGCGACUUAUAUUCUGUAGCAAGGUUAACCGAAUAGGGGAGCCGGAGGGAAACCGAGUCUUAAUUGGGCGUUAAGUUGCAGGGUAUAGACCCGAAACCCGGUGAUCUAGCCAUGGGCAGGUUGAAGGUUGGGUAACACUAACUGGAGGACCGAACCGACUAAUGUUGAAAAAUUAGCGGAUGACCUGUGGCUGGGGGUGAAAGGCCAAUCAAACCGGGAGAUAGCUGGUUCUCCCCGAAAGCUAUUUAGGUAGCGCCUCGUGAAUUCAUCUCCGGGGGUAGAGCACUGUUUCGGCUAGGGGGCCAUCCCGGCUUACCAACCCGAUGCAAACUGCGAAUACCGGAGAAUGUUAUCACGGGAGACACACGGCGGGUGCUAACGUCCGUCGUGAAGAGGGAAACAACCCAGACCGCCAGCUAAGGUCCCAAAGUCAUGGUUAAGUGGGAAACGAUGUGGGAAGGCCCAGACAGCCAGGAUGUUGGCUUAGAAGCAGCCAUCAUUUAAAGAAAGCGUAAUAGCUCACUGGUCGAGUCGGCCUGCGCGGAAGAUGUAACGGGGCUAAACCAUGCACCGAAGCUGCGGCAGCGACACUGUGUGUUGUUGGGUAGGGGAGCGUUCUGUAAGCCUGUGAAGGUGGCCUGUGAGGGUUGCUGGAGGUAUCAGAAGUGCGAAUGCUGACAUAAGUAACGAUAAAGCGGGUGAAAAGCCCGCUCGCCGGAAGACCAAGGGUUCCUGUCCAACGUUAAUCGGGGCAGGGUGAGUCGACCCCUAAGGCGAGGCCGAAAGGCGUAGUCGAUGGGAAACAGGUUAAUAUUCCUGUACUUGGUGUUACUGCGAAGGGGGGACGGAGAAGGCUAUGUUGGCCGGGCGACGGUUGUCCCGGUUUAAGCGUGUAGGUGUGUGUUCCAGGUAAAUCCGGUUCACUUUAACACUGAGGCGUGAUGACGAGGCACUACGGUGCUGAAGCAACAAAUGCCCUGCUUCCAGGAAAAGCCUCUAAGCAUCAGGUAACAUCAAAUCGUACCCCAAACCGACACAGGUGGUCAGGUAGAGAAUACCAAGGCGCUUGAGAGAACUCGGGUGAAGGAACUAGGCAAAAUGGUGCCGUAACUUCGGGAGAAGGCACGCUGACACGUAGGUGAAGUGAUUUACUCAUGGAGCUGAAGUCAGUCGAAGAUACCAGCUGGCUGCAACUGUUUAUUAAAAACACAGCACUGUGCAAACACGAAAGUGGACGUAUACGGUGUGACGCCUGCCCGGUGCCGGAAGGUUAAUUGAUGGGGUCAGCGCAAGCGAAGCUCCUGAUCGAAGCCCCGGUAAACGGCGGCCGUAACUAUAACGGUCCUAAGGUAGCGAAAUUCCUUGUCGGGUAAGUUCCGACCUGCACGAAUGGCGUAAUGAUGGCCAGGCUGUCUCCACCCGAGACUCAGUGAAAUUGAACUCGCUGUGAAGAUGCAGUGUACCCGCGGCAAGACGGAAAGACCCCGUGAACCUUUACUAUAGCUUGACACUGAACAUUGAGCCUUGAUGUGUAGGAUAGGUGGGAGGCUUUGAAGCGUGGACGCCAGUCUGCGUGGAGCCGACCUUGAAAUACCACCCUUUAAUGUUUGAUGUUCUAACGUGGACCCGUAAUCCGGGUUGCGGACAGUGUCUGGUGGGUAGUUUGACUGGGGCGGUCUCCUCCUAAAGAGUAACGGAGGAGCACGAAGGUUGGCUAAUCCUGGUCGGACAUCAGGAGGUUAGUGCAAUGGCAUAAGCCAGCUUGACUGCGAGCGUGACGGCGCGAGCAGGUGCGAAAGCAGGUCAUAGUGAUCCGGUGGUUCUGAAUGGAAGGGCCAUCGCUCAACGGAUAAAAGGUACUCCGGGGAUAACAGGCUGAUACCGCCCAAGAGUUCAUAUCGACGGCGGUGUUUGGCACCUCGAUGUCGGCUCAUCACAUCCUGGGGCUGAAGUAGGUCCCAAGGGUAUGGCUGUUCGCCAUUUAAAGUGGUACGCGAGCUGGGUUUAGAACGUCGUGAGACAGUUCGGUCCCUAUCUGCCGUGGGCGCUGGAGAACUGAGGGGGGCUGCUCCUAGUACGAGAGGACCGGAGUGGACGCAUCACUGGUGUUCGGGUUGUCAUGCCAAUGGCACUGCCCGGUAGCUAAAUGCGGAAGAGAUAAGUGCUGAAAGCAUCUAAGCACGAAACUUGCCCCGAGAUGAGUUCUCCCUGAGACUUAGAGUCUCCUGAAGGAACGUUGAAGACGACGACGUUGAUAGGCCGGGUGUGUAAGCGCAGCGAUGCGUUGAGCUAACCGGUACUAAUGAACCGUGAGGCUUAACCUUACAACGCCGAAG
RNAcentral lists this ribosomal RNA (2919 nucleotides) under Salmonella enterica subsp. enterica serovar Newport. Its description in RNAcentral is "bacterial LSU rRNA". It matches the Rfam family "Bacterial large subunit ribosomal RNA". Lineage: Bacteria; Pseudomonadati; Pseudomonadota; Gammaproteobacteria; Enterobacterales; Enterobacteriaceae. The record is from RNAcentral.